UUGUAUGUUGUUGCUUGCAAGGGGCUCAAAAAUGAUGGUGGAUGAUGGAACGACUAACCAAGGCUCGUGCUCUUUGAAGGUUUUCAACCAAAAGUUCAAAUGAGCAAAAGUGAGAAUUUAAGAGAGAGUGAAAUUUUUGAUCUGUUUGCAAGGUGUGGCUAGGGUUUUUGCAGAUUGGAAAUGUGAAAUAUAUACUCUGUUUAAUGUUUGUUUAAG
This 216-nucleotide long non-coding RNA is filed under the name Lathyrus oleraceus (garden pea). RNAcentral describes it as "Pisum sativum (pea) long non-coding RNA (PSAT_LNC008490)". The record is from RNAcentral. Lineage: Eukaryota; Viridiplantae; Streptophyta; Magnoliopsida; Fabales; Fabaceae.